RNAcentral lists this small nucleolar RNA (122 nucleotides) under Castor canadensis (American beaver). Its description in RNAcentral is "Small nucleolar RNA SNORA51 (ENSCCNG00000003830.1)". It matches the Rfam family "Small nucleolar RNA SNORA51". From Rfam's summary of the family: ACA51 is a member of the H/ACA class of snoRNA that guide the sites of modification of uridines to pseudouridines. Lineage: Eukaryota; Metazoa; Chordata; Mammalia; Rodentia; Castoridae. The record is from Rfam by way of RNAcentral.
GGUCUCCUGGUGUUUUCCAAGGGCUGUGUUCUUACACUGACUGUAUAGAAAGGGAGGGAAGGUAAAUCUACCUCAUAUACAUGUCUAUGUGCCUGGCCUGCAUUGUGAAUAGGGAGACAUGG